ACUCAAAGGAAUUGACGGGGACCCGCACAAGCGGUGGAGCAUGUUGUUUAAUUCGAAGCUACGCGAAGAACCUUACCCACUCUUGACAUACCAAGUAUGACUUUCAGAGAUGAUUGUCUUCAGUUCGGCUGGCUUGGAUACAGGUGCUGCAUGGCUGUCGUCAGCUCGUGUCGUGAGAUGUUGGGUUAAGUCCCGCAACGAGCGCAACCCUCAUCGUCUGUUGCUACCAGGUUAAGCUGGGCACUCUGACGAGACCGCCGGUGACAAGCCGGAGGAAGGUGGGGACGACGUCAAGUCAUCAUGGCCCUUACGAGUGGGGCUACAAACGUGCUACAAUGGUAACUACAGUGAGCAGCCACUUCGCAAGAAGGCGCUAAUCUCAAAAAGUUAUCUCAGUUCAGAUUGUCCUCUGCAACUCGAGGGCAUGAAGUUGGAAUCGCUAGUAAUCGGCCAUCAGCAUGGGCCGGUGAAUACGUUCCCGGGUCUUGUACACACCGCCCGU
This 502-nucleotide ribosomal RNA is filed under the name uncultured bacterium. Its description in RNAcentral is "partial 16S ribosomal RNA". It matches the Rfam family "Bacterial small subunit ribosomal RNA", at positions 899 to 1397 of the family's 1533-position model. The record is from RNAcentral.